AGAGUUUGAUCCUGGCUCAGAGUGAACGCUGGCGGCAGGCCUAACACAUGCAAGUCGAACGGCAGCACAGUAAGAGCUUGCUCUUAUGGGUGGCGAGUGGCGGACGGGUGAGGAAUACAUCGGAAUCUACUCUUUCGUGGGGGAUAACGUAGGGAAACUUACGCUAAUACCGCAUACGACCUACGGGUGAAAGCGGAGGACCUUCGGGCUUCGCGCGAUUGAAUGAGCCGAUGUCGGAUUAGCUAGUUGGCGGGGUAAAGGCCACCAAGGCGACGAUCC
RNAcentral lists this ribosomal RNA (279 nucleotides) under uncultured Xanthomonas sp. Its description in RNAcentral is "partial 16S ribosomal RNA". It matches the Rfam family "Bacterial small subunit ribosomal RNA", at positions 8 to 282 of the family's 1533-position model. The record is from RNAcentral. Lineage: Bacteria; Pseudomonadati; Pseudomonadota; Gammaproteobacteria; Lysobacterales; Lysobacteraceae.